Molecule: ribosomal RNA, 1285 nt
Filed under: Enterobacter cloacae
Lineage: Bacteria; Pseudomonadati; Pseudomonadota; Gammaproteobacteria; Enterobacterales; Enterobacteriaceae
Description: bacterial SSU rRNA
Rfam family: Bacterial small subunit ribosomal RNA
Source: RNAcentral
CAAGACCAAGGUGAGGGACGUUCGGGCCUCAUGCCAUCAGAUGUGCCCAGAUGGGAUUAGCUAGUAGGUGGGGUAACGGCUCACCUAGGCGACGAUCCCUAGCUGGUCUGAGAGGAUGACCAGCCACACUGGAACUGAGACACGGUCCAGACUCCUACGGGAGGCAGCAGUGGGGAAUAUUGCACAAUGGGCGCAAGCCUGAUGCAGCCAUGCCGCGUGUGUGAAGAAGGCCUUCGGGUUGUAAAGCACUUUCAGCGGGGAGGAAGGCGUUAAGGUUAAUAACCUUGGCGAUUGACGUACCCGCAGAAGAAGCACCUGCUAACUCCGUGCCAGCAGCCCGCGGUAAUACGGAGGGUGCAAGCGUUAAUCGGAAUUACUGGGCGUAAAGCGCACGCAGGCGGUCUGUCAAGUCGGAUGUGAAAUCCCCGGGCUCAACCUGGGAACUGCAUUCGAAACUGGCAGGCUAGAGUCUUGUAGAGGGGGGUAGAAUUCCAGGUGUAGCGGUGAAAUGCGUAGAGAUCUGGAGGAAUACCGGUGGCGAAGGCGGCCCCCUGGACAAAGACUGACGCUCAGGUGCGAAAGCGUGGGGAGCAAACAGGAUUAGAUACCCUGGUAGUCCACGCCGUAAACGAUGUCGAUUUGGAGGUUGUGCCCUUGAGGCGUGGCUUCCGGAGCUAACGCGUUAAAUCGACCGCCUGGGGAGUACGGCCGCAAGGUUAAAACUCAAAUGAAUUGACGGGGGCCCGCACAAGCGGUGGAGCAUGUGGUUUAAUUCGAUGCAACGCGAAGAACCUUACCUGGUCUUGACAUCCACAGAACUUUCCAGAGAUGGAUUGGUGCCUUCGGGAACUGUGAGACAGGUGCUGCAUGGCUGUCGUCAGCUCGUGUUGUGAAAUGUUGGGUUAAGUCCCGCAACGAGCGCAACCCUUAUCCUUUGUUGCCAGCGGUUCGGCCGGGAACUCAAAGGAGACUGCCAGUGAUAAACUGGAGGAAGGUGGGGAUGACGUCAAGUCAUCAUGGCCCUUACGACCAGGGCUACACACGUGCUACAAUGGCAUAUACAAAGAGAAGCGACCUCGCGAGAGCAAGCGGACCUCAUAAAGUAUGUCGUAGUCCGGAUUGGAGUCUGCAACUCGACUCCAUGAAGUCGGAAUCGCUAGUAAUCGUAGAUCAGAAUGCUACGGUGAAUACGUUCCCGGGCCUUGUACACACCGCCCGUCACACCAUGGGAGUGGGUUGCAAAAGAAGUAGGUAGCUUAACCUUCGGGAGGGCGCUUACCACUUU